Stylophora pistillata is the source of this 496-nucleotide long non-coding RNA. RefSeq lists it as uncharacterized. NCBI's taxonomy places the organism in Eukaryota, Metazoa, Cnidaria, Anthozoa, Scleractinia, Pocilloporidae. The record is from RefSeq and is a predicted model, not a curated record.
CAUGAUGUCUUUGUCACUUAAAUUACUUCUAGUCAGUCCCAUAUGAUCAUUCUCGCCUUUGCUCUAUCCUGAGAAGAUAUCAGCUGAUAACCAUCGGUGUAGACUUAAGUUAACCAAGUUCGAAACCAUGAAGAGAUAUUUGGGUGUCCUCUUGUUAUUCCUGGUUUGCCUGCAAGCUUCACAACAGGUUUUUGGAGCCAAAAUUAAGAGAUCUUCUGGUGCCGUAGCUGCGGAAGAAUGCCCUGUAUCAGAUUUACCAGAAAUGUGUGAUUUGGAGAAUCCUUGCGAUGAAAUUCCAUCCCCAUGCGGAAAAAUGGAAUGCUAUCCGUGUCCCGGUUGUGAGAGUUACACCUGUAUUCCAUUAAAAUCGUAAUCUAAGAAACGGUGAAGAGAGUUCCAAGGCAGAGAUGUCCAUAAAAUUCCGCGUGUUAUUUAAGCAAAUUGAAUUGAAUUAAAGCAGAGCUGUUUUGACAGCCAAUUUUGAGCAGCCUAUGUA